This 640-nucleotide ribosomal RNA is filed under the name Schizosaccharomyces pombe (fission yeast). RNAcentral describes it as "eukaryotic LSU rRNA". It matches the Rfam family "Eukaryotic large subunit ribosomal RNA", at positions 38 to 667 of the family's 3401-position model. The record is from RNAcentral. Lineage: Eukaryota; Fungi; Ascomycota; Schizosaccharomycetes; Schizosaccharomycetales; Schizosaccharomycetaceae.
GCAUAUCAAUAAGCGGAGGAAAAGAAAAUAACCAUGAUUCCCUCAGUAACGGCGAGUGAAGCGGGAAAAGCUCAAAUUUGAAAUCUGUCAACAUUUCUUUUGUUGUCCGAGUUGUAAUUUCAAGAAGCUGCUUUGAGUGUAGACGAUCGGUCUAAGUUCCUUGGAACAGGACGUCAGAGAGGGUGAGAACCCCGUCUUUGGUCGAUUGGAUAUGCCAUAUAAAGCGCUUUCGAAGAGUCGAGUUGUUUGGGAAUGCAGCUCUAAAUGGGUGGUAAAUUUCAUCUAAAGCUAAAUAUUGGCGAGAGACCGAUAGCGAACAAGUAGAGUGAUCGAAAGAUGAAAAGAACUUUGAAAAGAGAGUUAAAUAGUACGUGAAAUUGCUGAAAGGGAAGCAUUGGAAAUCAGUCUUACCUGGGUGAGAUCAGUAGUCUCUUCGCGAGACUAUGCACUCUGAACCUGUGGUAGGUCAGCAUCAGUUUUCGGGGGCGGAAAAAGAAUAAGGGAAGGUGGCUUUCCGGGUUCUGCCUGGGGAGUGUUUAUAGCCCUUGUUGUAAUACGUCCACUGGGGACUGAGGACUGCGGCUUCGUGCCAAGGAUGCUGACAUAAUGGUUUUCAAUGGCCCGUCUUGAAACACGGACC